GGAGUUAGAAGCUUAUUUCAAGCUUUGAAUUUUUAAUUCAAAGACAGAGGAUUUCCUCUUAACUCCA
This 67-nucleotide transfer RNA is filed under the name Ibidoecus plataleae. Its description in RNAcentral is "tRNA-Lys". The record is from RNAcentral. Lineage: Eukaryota; Metazoa; Arthropoda; Insecta; Psocodea; Philopteridae.